RNAcentral lists this transfer RNA (77 nucleotides) under Candidatus Peregrinibacteria bacterium CG2_30_44_17. Its description in RNAcentral is "tRNA-Arg". It matches the Rfam family "tRNA". From Rfam's summary of the family: Transfer RNA (tRNA) molecules are approximately 80 nucleotides in length. The record is from RNAcentral. RNAcentral also lists the same sequence under 4 other names. Lineage: Bacteria; Candidatus Peregrinibacteriota.
GCGCUCGUAGCUCAACUGGAUAGAGCACCGGUCUUCGGAACCGGGGGUUGGGGGUUCGAAUCCCUCCGGGCGUACCA